GUGGGGUAGGGGAGCGUUCUGUAAGCCGUUGAAGGUGGUCUGUAAGGGCUGCUGGAGGUAUCAGAAGUGCGAAUGCUGACAUGAGUAACGAUAAAGGGAGUGAAAAACUCCCUCGCCGGAAGACCAAGGGUUCCUGUCCAACGUUAAUCGGGGCAGGGUAAGUCGACUCCUAAGGCGAGGCCGAAAGGCGUAGUCGAUGGGAAACGGGUUAAUAUUCCCGUACUUCUUACAAUUGCGAUGGGGGGACGGAGAAGGCUAGGUGGGCCUGGCGACGGUUGUCCAGGUUCAAGUACGUAGGCGGAAGGUUUAGGUAAAUCCGGACUUUCAUUAACGCUGAGAUACGAUGUCGAGCACCUACGGGUGUGAAGUCAUUGAUGCCAUGCUUCCAGGAAAAGCCUCUAAGCUUCAGAUUGUAAGGAAUCGUACCCCAAACCGACACAGGUGGUCGGGUAGAGAAUACCAAGGCGCUUGAGAGAACUCGGGUGAAGGAACUAGGCAAAAUGGUACCGUAACUUCGGGAGAAGGUACGCUCUUAUCAGUGAAGUCCCUUGCGGAUGGAGCAGACGAGAGUCGCAGAUACCAGGUGGCUGCAACUGUUUAUUAAAAACACAGCACUGUG
Molecule: ribosomal RNA, 619 nt
Filed under: Vibrio toranzoniae
Lineage: Bacteria; Pseudomonadati; Pseudomonadota; Gammaproteobacteria; Vibrionales; Vibrionaceae
Description: Bacterial large subunit ribosomal RNA
Rfam family: Bacterial large subunit ribosomal RNA
Source: Rfam by way of RNAcentral